Ochotona princeps (American pika) is the source of this 379-nucleotide long non-coding RNA. RefSeq lists it as uncharacterized. The transcript is spliced from 3 exons. NCBI's taxonomy places the organism in Eukaryota, Metazoa, Chordata, Mammalia, Lagomorpha, Ochotonidae. The record is from RefSeq and is a predicted model, not a curated record.
GUAUGAACACUUCAACUGUAGCACCUAGGAAACCAGAUACGCCAUUUGCUCCAGCCCUGAUGUUCUUUGGUCUUCAGCAGAAGGAAGAUUUUCAUGUGAACCAGAGGUACAUUGAAGGGUAAAAUGAUUAAUAGCCAAGUAUACACCUGAUGGCUUUUGCCUUUACAAGACUGAUCUUGUAUCUACUGGUUCACUCUGCGAAUGAUCACAACAGCCAGACCUGGGCCAGGCUGAACUCAGGAACCAGGAAUUCCUUUGCCAGGACUCGAACCUGAAAGAGAUUCUGAUGUGAGAAGUGGCAGAAAGCUUAACCUGCUCUGUACAACACUGCCCCUGAGUAUUUAUAAUGCUCUAUUUCUCAUGCUCAGUUUCUCUUGUC